AUGAGACAAGAGAAAAAGGAUCACUGAGAUACUUAUUUUUGUACACAUUUGAUGUGUGUAGCCAUGUGAUGUGCUAACAAAGAAAGUUGUCUCUACUUCAUUACCUUUAUCGAUGAUCAGUCAUGGUAUAGGUAUGUAUAUGAGAUACAAAUUUAAAAUUUUAAAAGAUUCAAAUAAUUCAGAUAUAAAGUAGAGAAGCAAAUCAAAAAAUUCUUAAAGAUACUU
This 225-nucleotide long non-coding RNA is filed under the name Elaeis guineensis (African oil palm). RNAcentral's name for it is "long non-coding RNA (EGUI_LNC051012)". The record is from RNAcentral. Lineage: Eukaryota; Viridiplantae; Streptophyta; Magnoliopsida; Arecales; Arecaceae.